UUGAAAUAAACUUGGUGUUGGUUGUAGCUGGCCUUUUUGGGCAUGUGCUCGCCUUCAUCAUCUUUAUAUUUCCACCUGUGCACCUUUUGUAGACAAGAAAGAAAAAGGAAUUUAUUCCUUGUGUAUUCCUUGUCUAUGUUUUUAUAUAUACUCCAAAAAUGUAACAGAAUGUUAAUCUAUGGGCUUUUGUGCCUAUAAACAAAAAAUUAUA
This 211-nucleotide unclassified non-coding RNA is filed under the name uncultured Phaeocollybia. Its description in RNAcentral is "sequence contains ITS1". Lineage: Eukaryota; Fungi; Basidiomycota; Agaricomycetes; Agaricales; Cortinariaceae. The record is from RNAcentral.